CCUACGGGUGGCAGCAGUGAGGAAUAUUGGUCAAUGGGCGGGAGCCUGAACCAGCCAAGUCGCGUGAAGGAAGAAGGUACUUAGUAUUGUAAACUUCUUUUGUCGGGGAACAAAGGCGGAGACGCGUCUCCGGAUGAGUGUACCCGAAGAAAAAGCAUCGGCUAACUCCGUGCCAGCAGCCGCGGUAAUACGGAGGAUGCGAGCGUUACCCGGAUUUAUUGGGUUUAAAGGGUGCGUAGGCGGAUUUUUAAGUCAGCGGUAAAAUGUCCGGGCUCAACCCGGGCCGGCCGUUGAAACUGGGGAUCUUGAGUGGGCGAGAAGUAUGCGGAAUGCGUGGUGUAGCGGUGAAAUGCAUAGAGAUCACGCAGAACUCCGAUUGCGAAGGCAGCAUACCGGCGCCCGACUGACGCUGAGGCACGAAAGCGUGGGGAUCGAACAGGAUUAGAUACCCUGGUAGUC
This 459-nucleotide ribosomal RNA is filed under the name uncultured bacterium. RNAcentral describes it as "partial 16S ribosomal RNA". It matches the Rfam family "Bacterial small subunit ribosomal RNA", at positions 338 to 795 of the family's 1533-position model. The record is from RNAcentral.